This 501-nucleotide ribosomal RNA is filed under the name uncultured bacterium. RNAcentral's name for it is "partial 16S ribosomal RNA". It matches the Rfam family "Bacterial small subunit ribosomal RNA", at positions 899 to 1397 of the family's 1533-position model. The record is from RNAcentral.
ACUCAAAUGAAUUGACGGGGGCCCGCACAAGCGGUGGAGCAUGUGGUUCAAUUCGAAGCAACGCGAAGAACCUUACCAGGCCUUGACAUCCCGGUCGCGGGCUCCUGAAAGGGAGCCUUUCAGUUCGGCUGGACCGGUGACAGGUGCUGCAUGGCUGUCGUCAGCUCGUGUCGUGAGAUGUUGGGUUAAGUCCCGCAACGAGCGCAACCCUCGCCCUUAGUUGCCAUCAUUUAGUUGGGCACUCUAAGGGGACUGCCGGUGAUAAGCCGCGAGGAAGGUGGGGAUGACGUCAAGUCCUCAUGGCCCUUACGGCCUGGGCUACACACGUGCUACAAUGGCGGUGACAGUGGGCAGCAAUGGAGCAAUCCGGAGCUAAUCUCUAAAAGCCGUCUCAGUUCGGAUUGGGGUCUGCAACUCGACCCCAUGAAGUCGGAAUCGCUAGUAAUCGCGGAUCAGCACGCCGCGGUGAAUACGUUCCCGGGCCUUGUACACACCGCCCGU